UUUUCUUGUGUAUAGUUUUGCAUAGAGGUUAAAGGUUGAAGGAUUUUUUUUCAAACCAGGGAGUCUAAAGGUUAAGCAAACCACAAGUUUACACCGUGACAAUAAAUCCCCAAUUAGCAUGGCUCAUAAUCCAAUACAGCAUAAUUGCCUCAGUGUAUUUAGGUGCAUUAGCUUCAUUAAGUAAAAAACUCAAGUUUAAUUGAACCAAAAUAUAACUUGCAGGUAUUCUUACUAAAGGAAUGACAAGUCAUGAGUUUCACUAGGCAUUAGCUUCAUUUCUGAUCAAAAAAAUAUGGUUGAAGGAUUUUUUUUCAAACCAGGGAGUCUAAAGGUUAAGCAAACCACAAGUUUACACCGUGACAAUAAAUCCCCAAUUAGCAUGGCUCAUAAUCCAAUACAGCAUAAUUGCCUCAGUGUAUUUAGGUGCAUUAGCUUCAUUAAGUAAAAAACUCAAGUUUAAUUGAACCAAAAUAUAACUUGCAGG
RNAcentral lists this long non-coding RNA (484 nucleotides) under Vitis vinifera (wine grape). Its description in RNAcentral is "long non-coding RNA (VVIN_LNC001606)". Lineage: Eukaryota; Viridiplantae; Streptophyta; Magnoliopsida; Vitales; Vitaceae. The record is from RNAcentral.